RNAcentral lists this ribosomal RNA (450 nucleotides) under uncultured bacterium. RNAcentral's name for it is "partial 16S ribosomal RNA". It matches the Rfam family "Bacterial small subunit ribosomal RNA", at positions 354 to 796 of the family's 1533-position model. The record is from RNAcentral.
GUGGGGAAUUUUGGACAAUGGGCGCAAGCCUGAUCCAGCAAUGCCGCGUGCAGGAAGAAGGCCUUCGGGUUGUAAACUGCUUUUGUACGGAACGAAACGGUCCUGGUUAAUACCUGGGGCUAAUGACGGUACCGUAAGAAUAAGCACCGGCUAACUACGUGCCAGCAGCCGCGGUAAUACGUAGGGUGCGAGCGUUGAUCGGAAUUACUGGGCGUAAAGCGUGCGCAGGCGGUGCUGUAAGACAGGCGUGAAAGCCCCGGGCUCAACCUGGGAAUUGCGCUUGUGACUGCAGUGCUGGAGUACGGCAGAGGGGGAUGGAAUUCCGCGUGUAGCAGUGAAAUGCGUAGAUAUGCGGAGGAACACCGAUGGCGAAGGCAGUCCCCUGGGCCUGUACUGACGCUCAUGCACGAAAGCGUGGGGAGCAAACAGGAUUAGAAACCCUGGUAGUCC